Molecule: long non-coding RNA, 336 nt
Organism: Sceloporus undulatus (fence lizard)
Lineage: Eukaryota; Metazoa; Chordata; Lepidosauria; Squamata; Phrynosomatidae
Exons: 3
Source: RefSeq, a predicted model, not a curated record
GAACCUUCAAGUCCUCCCUCCCUCUUCCCUUCCUUUAUGCAACCCAGUUUAUUUUGCAAGGAAGACACAGCAGCACUCCCAGGCGGCACCUUCUCUCAAAAAAUAUGGUGUGACUCCUAAUUGGCGCCUGCCGCUAUGUGGCCAGGAAAAUAGCAGCAUCCCUGAGGAAUGAGGAUCUGGGGGAACCAGCGCUGAUGUGCAAGAACCGGGUCUGCCAAGUUGGCAACCCCCAAAAGGCAAAUGGAGCCAUCUGCCAGUUGCUCUGUGGGUCAGGGAUGCCCCUCCUGUUGCCACAUUAGAUGUUGGGAUCCAGAAGCCUCAUCUUGAUGGAACUGA